GUCUUGGUAGUGUAAUGGAUAGGCACAGUAUCUGUAGGUACGGGUUCGAAUCCCGUCUGAGGUU
Non-coding RNA from Dictyocaulus viviparus (bovine lungworm), 64 nucleotides. The record is from Rfam. NCBI's taxonomy places the organism in Eukaryota, Metazoa, Nematoda, Chromadorea, Rhabditida, Metastrongylidae.